Sus scrofa (pig) is the source of this 3118-nucleotide non-coding RNA. The record is from RefSeq and is a predicted model, not a curated record. Lineage: Eukaryota; Metazoa; Chordata; Mammalia; Artiodactyla; Suidae.
AACCACUGCGCCACAACGGGAACUCCUGGGAAUCCUUACUGCUUACCUAUUUUGUUUAGUAGUUUGUAUCUGUUAAUCUCAUACUCCUAAUUCAGACCACAUUUUUUAAUGAUAAGCAACUUCAGAAAAGUACUUAAAAAAAAAAAAGAAAGAAAAAGAGUUGAGGUUUUAAGUCCAAGAGAACCUCUAUUAGAUUGGAAGUUUCUGUUCUCUGUUCAGCUCUUACACUGUUUAAUGAAAAGAGGUCAAGAGAUAAACAAGUGUCAUCAGAGAACAGAGAGUAGAGUGAGAUACUAGCCUUUAUUUUUAUAUAUUUGUAAAAAUUACAAGUGACUUUUUAAAGAAAAUUACAACAAAACAGUACAGCAAAUAUUACAUAAAAAUGUUUUUCUUUUAGGGAGGAGAGUUAGGAAAGUAAUGGAUCCUCCUUGGAAGAUUUCACUUGGAGAACAAAAGCAGCUCUGUGUGCACUUUAUUUCCAGGUGAUUGUGAUUAUACUGACUCAUUCUUCUGCCCUAAAAAAAGGCUGGUCCCCGAGAAAGACAAUUGGCUCCUUUGCUUAGACUUCCUGGCAGUGGGCAGCGGGGGCCUAGGACAGUCUGGGUACUUUUUCACACCCAGUGCAUGUGAGGCCAGUUUUCUAAAAAGAAGUAUUAGUUACCUGCUCUGGGAGUCAGAGUUGUUUUAGCCCUUAGGUCCUAUAACCUGAAGACGUGGCCCUUGUUUUUUGCCUUUCCAUCUUAAUACAUACAUUUGCCCAUGCCUGUUGGCAGCCAAGAGUUGAUCUCUACUUUCUUCAAAAGGCUUGGUUAUCUAGUGAAAUAUCCAAAUGCUGGCAGGAACAGCACAUCCUAACUUCCUGUCUCUGGCUCGCCUACUACUAUAUUAUGGGUGUAUUUAAUGUUCUGGCUAUCUUUCCCUACCCUGAGUUGCUAUCCAAACAACAAUAUCUAGUAAUACUGGAAACAGAGUCAUCAGUUUUAUAUAUAUCUACAAGAAUGAGCUCGUGUAUAAAGGAAGGAAAGAAGGCACCAAAUGAGUCUCCAAUUGCCAAUAGUUUUGACUAGCAAUGCCUAAAUAUGUCCCAAAGUACAUGGGAAAUAUGUCUGUGGACAUGAGACAUUGAGUCCAGUGAAUUAGUCACCUACUUAUUAAAGAAACACACCCUGCUUUAGUGCUUGGCACAUCUACAUCUGCUAAAUAUUAGAAAAUAUGGCUAAGAUGUUUUCUGGCCAGAGGUCAGUUGGACAAGUGUAUUUGUGUAUGUGGGCACACCCUCCUUCUUCAAGGAUCACUGUCUGAACCCUCACUUUAAUCACAAGGAAAUGAUCAAGCUAGUCAGGAUCACGGUCUGUUGCCUCAGUGUGAAAAGGGCAACCCCUUCUUCUGGAAUGUGGAAAUUGAAGUUAGCCCCAUUGCUAAUUGAAUCAAACUGACCACAAGAGAGGAAUUGUCUGCUUAUGAAAAAAGUCUUGCUCUUCUAGCCACGUGGAGGGAGAAAGGGACUCUGCUUCUGCUAUCGCAGACAUACUUUAUUCCAAUGGGGAAUAAGAAAAGUAUUCUCGGCAAAACCUAAUGUCCUGAGAGUCACUUUGAAAUGAGUUUGGGGGAUGGCUGGUAUAUGCUGUGCUCAGAAGGAAAACCCAAGCUGGUCUGACUAGAGGAAAUUAUGCCACCAGCUAACAGCAGAGCCAAGCACUAUAGUGGGUCUCUCAGCUACCAGGGUGAAUAAGCUAUUACUCCUGUCCUGGAGAAGUUGAUUGCCUUGUGGAAAAGACAGAAGCAAAGGCAGAAAACUGCAACACAGCACAUUAAAUGCUACAGUUGAGAAUCUGGGGUCUCAUCCAGGAUUUGGGGUCCACUGGAACACAGAUUCUUGAGGAUGAGAGAUGCAUCCCACAGCCUGUUGUGGUGGCCCUAAAUUGAGAAGUCUGCACCUGUGAACUUCAAACCCAUGGAGGGUUCUUGACAAUGUGGGAAAUCAUGUGAUGACAUGGCAACUCUGUUAAUGGACCAAGGUAGGAAAUAUCACAGGUGUGAUUGUGUACCUCAUUGGUGGUCGGGAUGGGGUCAUUAAGCCUCAAAGGGUCUCAGGUGAUACCGGCAGUUUGAGGUGAAAUCGUAAAAUCAGAGCACACCCUUCAAAACAUCUUGGGGGAGACCAGCAAUUUUGGGGUGAAAUUAGGGAAUCAGAACAUGAUCCUGGACAAUGAAGGUCUCAGGUGAGACCAGUGAUUUUGGGUGAAAUCAGAGGAUCAGAACACGAUCCUGGGAAAUGGGAAGUAAGUCUUCCUGACCUGUACCUCCACUUGGAGGACUGAAUGGGGAAGGGGACCAAAUUCCUCCAGACUGUCCUCUGGGAUUGAUAUUAAAGUAUGGGGGUGACAAUCCAUUGAUGAAGGACAAAAAGAAGGGAAGAAUGAUUAAAUAUUGUUGUUUUAUCUGGACACAGACACCUAUUCUUGCCCCAUCUGUCUUCUGGCCAAAGUUUGGAUCAGACGAGGAUUGGGUCUGUCAGCUGUUUAUUCAGUUUGUCCAGGACAAGUCACUGGGGUCUCCAGAGGAAACUUAUUAUGCUCUCCAUUGGCAGCGGGGACUGGUGGUCUUAAUUCCCUUCAGAGCACAGGACCAAAAGGGAAAUGAGGAGGAAACCCAAGAACAUUCUGGGACCUCCUCCCCUCCAUGGGACCCCCUUGGCUCACUGCUGCCACCUUAGAAUCCCCAAAAUGGUGCUGGCCCCCACUCCAGCCACAGCCACCACUGCUGUUGCUGCUGGGGGAGUAUGGAAGGGGCACAGAGCCCACAAUGCAAGUGCAAGGGCACUGCUGCUGCUCACAUACUUAACACAGGAGGGGAGGGGUGCAGAGCCCUGUGCUGGCACAAGCACACUACUGUUGCUCAGAGUCAGAAAAGGAGGAUUAGGCCACAGGCACAAGCAUGCUGCCCUGGCUCAGGGGAUCAAAGCCCACAGCCUCAACAAAACCAAAGGAUAUGGCAGGGCCUUAUUCCAGACUUAGUGAAGAGUUAAAACAAUGUCAGGAGUUCCCAUCAUGCCUCAGUGGUUAACAGACCCAAGUAGUAACCAUGAGGUUGCAGGUUCAAUCCCUGGCCUUGCUCA